CGCACUAAAAAUGGUAAAGUAAUUUCUUAAUCAGUUUUGGUUAAUUAAUACAAAUACGUUCCUUUCAACCUUGGAUUCGAAAACAUGUAAAAAUGGUCUAGUAGGGGGAAAGCUUUUCCCUUUAGUUUUUCAGAUGGGUUUUGGUUCGAAAGCUGGGGGUUUUCACCUAAUAGCAUUACCACUUGAAUGGCUGAUUUCCAAAGGUCUAGUCUUUCUGAUAGGGACAUUGAUCAGGCCAUUGCAGCACUUAAGAAAGGAGCAAAACUGCUAAAGUAUGGGCGCAGGGGAAAACCAAAGUUCUGUCCCAGAGUACCUUCGUGGAUGCUGCCACUGAAUGUUCAUAGUGUAUUUCAAUAUUAACUAUUUCAAGUCUUCCUUGUAUGCCAGAUUUUUUUAACAUUCUUAAUUGACUUAGAAUUAAUAACUGUGAAACUAAAGAUCAUGUCUACUUAGAAAAUA
This is a long non-coding RNA of Capsicum annuum, 459 nucleotides long. RefSeq lists it as uncharacterized. The record is from RefSeq and is a predicted model, not a curated record. The transcript has 2 exons. NCBI's taxonomy places the organism in Eukaryota, Viridiplantae, Streptophyta, Magnoliopsida, Solanales, Solanaceae.